This 253-nucleotide ribosomal RNA is filed under the name uncultured bacterium. RNAcentral describes it as "partial 16S ribosomal RNA". It matches the Rfam family "Bacterial small subunit ribosomal RNA", at positions 524 to 776 of the family's 1533-position model. The record is from RNAcentral.
GACAGAGGGUGCAAACGUUGUUCGGAAUUACUGGGCGUAAAGGGCCCGUAGGCGGCCAACUAAGUCAGACGUGAAGUCCCUCGGCUUAACCGGGGAACUGCGUCUGAUACUGGAUGGCUUGAGGUUGGGAGAGGGAUGCGGAAUUCCAGGUGUAGCGGUGAAAUGCGUAGAUAUCUGGAGGAACACCGGUGGCGAAGGCGGCAUCCUGGACCAAUUCUGACGCUGAGGAGCGAAAGCCAGGGGAGCAAACGGG